Molecule: long non-coding RNA, 722 nt
Filed under: Bos indicus x Bos taurus (hybrid cattle)
Lineage: Eukaryota; Metazoa; Chordata; Mammalia; Artiodactyla; Bovidae
Description: lncRNA (ENSBIXG00005009709.1)
Source: RNAcentral
GAAGAGCCCACGCUUAGUUGAAUGCUUUGCUGUCAUUGUCUUGAAAUUUUUCAGACUUUUUGAGCAUGGGGCCUGCAUUUUAUCUUGGCACUGGGCCCUACAAAUUGCCUAUCUGUUCCUCUGCAGCCUAGUUCUGAAGUAUCCUAUUGUGCCUGAAAUGCCCGGAUAAUAACCAGAGGAGACAUCGACCAACAUUGACUCCAUCUGAGCUGGGAUGCUGACACAGUGCCCAUGCUUUCUAGCCUACCACCAGAUUUAACUCAGAGGUCCUGAGCUAGAAGCUAAGCUAACCACCAAGAAGGGUGCCUCUGGUCAAGUAAGGAACUACCAACCAUUCUAAGACCUGUUGGGCGAGCUUAUCAGGUUCCCAAUUUCUCCAGAAAUGCCUGGCGGUUUCAAGGAUCGAGAUAAGCACAGCUGUAAUCUACCAUGAUCCAGAGCUUAUUCACAGAUCACAGCUGUGUAAUUUCAGGAAGAUUGCUCUUCUAAUAUUGCCACUGAGAUAUUCAAACACAAUGAGGUGUGGAAGCUGGGAGGAGACGGAGAUGCUCUUAUUGCUGAAGGCUGAGGCAGGUUAUUUCCCUAUCUUCUUUAAAUGAUUGCGGUGGGAGAAAGUGGAGCUGUAAACACAUGACCUGAACCUGACUCCAGAAUGGCUAAUUGAAAGCGUAAGUUGACAGCCAUCUCACUUGUUUAAAAUAACAUGGUUUCUGUUAUGUAUU